CCUGGCUCAGAGCGAACGUUAGCGGCGCGCCUAACACAUGCAAGUCGCACGAGAAAAGGGGGCAACCCCCGGUACAGUGGCGCACGGGUGAGUAACACGUGGAUUACCUUCCCUGGAGUGGUGGAUAACCUGCCGAAAGGUGGGCUAAUACAGCAUGAGACCACGCACUUUCGAGUGUGAGGUCAAAGCGGGCUUCUGUUUACAUGCUCGCGCUCUAGGAUGGGUCCGCGGCCCAUCAGCUAGUUGGUAGGGUAACGGCCUACCAAGGCAACGACGGGUAGGCUGGUCUGAGAGGAUGACCAGCCACACUGGAACUGAGACACGGUCCAGACUCCUACGGGAGGCAGCAGUGGGGAAUCUUGCGCAAUGGGCGAAAGCCUGACGCAGCGACGCCGCGUGGGUGACGAAGGCCUCGGUGUAAGCC
Molecule: ribosomal RNA, 424 nt
Filed under: uncultured bacterium
Lineage: Bacteria
Description: bacterial SSU rRNA
Rfam family: Bacterial small subunit ribosomal RNA
Source: RNAcentral